Molecule: ribosomal RNA, 1448 nt
Filed under: uncultured organism
Description: 16S ribosomal RNA
Rfam family: Bacterial small subunit ribosomal RNA
Source: RNAcentral
CAGGCUUAACACAUGCAAGUCGAGGGGCAGCAUGGUCUUAGCUUGCUAAGGCCGAUGGCGACCGGCGCACGGGUGAGUAACGCGUAUCCAACCUGCCUUACACUCUUGGACAGCCUUCUGAAAGGGAGAUUAAUACAAGAUGUUAUCAUGAGUAAGCAUUUUCGCAUGAUUAAAGGUUUACCGGUGUAAGAUGGGGAUGCGUUCCAUUAGAUAGUAGGCGGGGUAACGGCCCACCUAGUCUUCGAUGGAUAGGGGUUCUGAGAGGAAGGUCCCCCACAUUGGAACUGAGACACGGUCCAAACUCCUACGGGAGGCAGCAGUGAGGAAUAUUGGUCAAUGGACGAGAGUCUGAACCAGCCAAGUAGCGUGAAGGAUGAAGGUUCUAUGGAUUGUAAACUUCUUUUAUACGGGAAUAAACGAAUCCACGUGUGGAUUUUUGCAUGUACCGUAUGAAUAAGGAUCGGCUAACUCCGUGCCAGCAGCCGCGGUAAUACGGAGGAUCCGAGCGUUAUCCGGAUUUAUUGGGUUUAAAGGGAGCGUAGAUGGGUUGUUAAGUCAGUUGUGAAAGUUUGCGGCUCAACCGUAAAAUUGCAAUUGAUACUGGCAGUCUUGAGUACAGUUGAGGUAGGCGGAAUUCGUGGUGUAGCGGUGAAAUGCUUAGAUAUCACGAAGAACUCCGAUUGCGAAGGCAGCUUACUAACCUGUAACUGACAUUGAUGCUCGAAAGUGUGGGUAUCAAACAGGAUUAGAUACCCUGGUAGUCCACACGGUAAACGAUGAAUACUCGCUGUAGGCGAUAUACAGUCUGCGGCCAAGCGAAAGCAUUAAGUAUUCCACCUGGGGAGUACGCCGGCAACGGUGAAACUCAAAGGAAUUGACGGGGGCCCGCACAAGCGGAGGAACAUGUGGUUUAAUUCGAUGAUACGCGAGGAACCUUACCCGGGCUUAAAUUGCAACCGAAUAUGGCGGAAACGCUAUAGCUAGCAAUAGCGGUUGUGAGGGUGCUGCAUGGUUGUCGUCAGCUCGUGCCGUGAGGUGUCGGCUUAAGUGCCAUAACGAGCGCAACCCUUGCCGAUAGUUACUAACAGGUCAUGCUGAGGACUCUGUCGGGACUGCCAUCGUAAGAUGUGAGGAAGGUGGGGAUGACGUCAAAUCAGCACGGCCCUUACGUCCGGGGCUACACACGUGUUACAAUGGGGGGUACAGAGGGCUGCUACCACGCAAGUGGAUGCCAAUCCCAAAAACCUCUCUCAGUUCGGAUUGAAGUCUGCAACCCGACUUCAUGAAGCUGGAUUCGCUAGUAAUCGCGCAUCAGCCACGGCGCGGUGAAUACGUUCCCGGGCCUUGUACACACCGCCCGUCAAGCCAUGGGAGCCGGGGGUACCUGAAGUGCGUAACCGCAAGGAGCGCCCUAGGGUAAAACUGGUGACUGGGGCUAAGUCAUAACA